GACGAACGCUGGCGGCGUGCCUAAUACAUGCAAGUUGAGCGAUGAAGUUUGGUGCUUGCCCCAAUUUGAAGAGCAGCGAACGGGUGAGUAACGCGUGGGGAAUCUGCCUUUGAGCGGGGGACAACAUUUGGAAACGAAUGCUAAUACCGCAUAACAACUUUAAACAUAAGUUUUAAGUUUGAAAGAUGCAAUUGCAUCACUCAAAGAUGAUCCCGCGUUGUAUUAGCUAGUUGGUGAGGUAAAGGCUCACCAAGGCGAUGAUACAUAGCCGACCUGAGAGGGUGAUCGGCCACAUUGGGACUGAGACACGGCCCAAACUCCUACGGGAGGCAGCAGUAGGGAAUCUUCGGCAAUGGACGAAAGUCUGACCGAGCAACGCCGCGUGAGUGAAGAAGGUUUUCGGAUCGUAAAACUCUGUUGGUAGAGAAGAACGUUGGUGAGAGUGGAAAGCUCAUCAAGUGACGGUAACUACCCAGAAAGGGACGGCUAACUACGU
RNAcentral lists this ribosomal RNA (496 nucleotides) under uncultured bacterium. Its description in RNAcentral is "partial 16S ribosomal RNA". It matches the Rfam family "Bacterial small subunit ribosomal RNA", at positions 28 to 506 of the family's 1533-position model. The record is from RNAcentral.